RNAcentral lists this ribosomal RNA (444 nucleotides) under uncultured bacterium. Its description in RNAcentral is "bacterial SSU rRNA". It matches the Rfam family "Bacterial small subunit ribosomal RNA", at positions 958 to 1399 of the family's 1533-position model. The record is from RNAcentral.
AACGCGAAGAACCUUACCCGGGCUUGAACUACUCGUGGUAGGCCGCUAGAAACAGUGGCCGACCCGCAAGGGAGCGAGCAGAGGUGCUGCAUGGUUGUCGUCAGCUCGUGUCGUGAGAUGUUGGGUUAAGUCCCGCAACGAGCGCAACCCCUACUCGAUGUUGCUAAUCCCGCAAGGGAUGCACUCUUCGAGAACUGCCUUCGAUAAGAAGGAGGAAGGUGGGGACGACGUCAAGUCAUCAUGCCCCUUAUGUCCUGGGCUACACACGUGUUACAAUGGCUGGGACAAUGUGAUGCAAAACGGCGACGUCGAGCGAAUCACCAAACCCAGUCUCAGUUCGGAUCGCAGGCUGCAACUCGCCUGCGUGAAGUCGGAAUCGCUAGUAACCGCCGAUCAGCACGCGGCGGUGAAUACGUUCCCGGGCCUUGUACACACCGCUCGCGA